This is a non-coding RNA of Salvelinus sp. IW2-2015, 274 nucleotides long. The record is from RefSeq and is a predicted model, not a curated record. NCBI's taxonomy places the organism in Eukaryota, Metazoa, Chordata, Actinopteri, Salmoniformes, Salmonidae.
GUUUACCUCUCCCUAUGUUGUCCCAGCCCCAAGGUGAUGUUUACCUCUCCUCUCCCUAUGUUGUCCCAACCCCAAGGUGAUGUUUACCUCUCCUCUCCCUAUGUUGUCCCAGCCCCAAGGUGAUGUUUACCUCUCCCUAUGUUGUCCCAGCCCCAAGGUGAUGUUUACCUCUCCUCUCCCUAUGUUGUCCCAGUCCCAAGGUGGUGUUUACCUCUCCCUAUGUUGUCCCAACCCCAAGGUGAUGUUUACCUCUCCCUAUGUUGUCCCAUCCCCA